This 1311-nucleotide long non-coding RNA is filed under the name Ananas comosus (pineapple). Its description in RNAcentral is "long non-coding RNA (ACOM_LNC021206)". Lineage: Eukaryota; Viridiplantae; Streptophyta; Magnoliopsida; Poales; Bromeliaceae. The record is from RNAcentral.
CCCGUCGGUAAAACUAUUUGGUGGCGACAAAAUGUCGCCGCUAAAAGUUAGAUAAUUAGCGGCGACAACCUGUCGCCGCAAAAUUAGAGAAUUAGUGGCGACAUGAUGUCGCCGCUAAAAGUUAGAAAAGUUAGAUAAUUAAUGGCGACAUUUUAUUGCUGCUAAAUAUUUGGUGGCGACAAUUUGUCGCCACUAAAAGUUAGAUAAUUAGCUAUGCGGCCUAGUUAUAUGGUGGCGACUAUUGUCGUCACUAUUUUCUGAUCGAAAAUUAUUUUUUGAGAAAAAAUAAUUGGUAGUAAUAGAUAUUAUUGAUUUAGUAUAAAUUGCUAAAAAUAACCUAUAAUUAUAAAAAUUUCUCGUUCUUAAAUUUUAACCUUUAAUUUCAAUUUAAUCCUCUCAGAAAAAAUUAAACCGAAACACUAUGGCUCAAACACCUUAGAACCAAUAUAUAUUAAAUCUAAUUGAAUCUCUAUAAGUAUUUAAUCAUAAAAUUAAUCCACACAAAUAAGUAAGACUGAAUCAAACUUUAAAUGUAAAAAAGUGCAUAAAUAAUCAUAUAAGGCAAAUAAAAAUGACUGAAUCAAACUUUAAAUGUUAGAAUAUCAUUGCAUUGUCACCUAAUACACCCAACACAACCAAAAAACAAAACACAAUAAUAGUGUUUUUGUCAUUUCCACAUGCUAUCAAAUGUAAAGUUUUCAAAAUAUGUCAAGUUUACUUAAACUUGAUUCAAUACAUCGUCAAAAUACUGCCAAAAUUUUUCUCGCCACCACCUCUUAUAAAUCUGCAAAUAAAAAUAAAAAAAAAUUAGCAAGUCCUCCAACAAUUAAACCUGCAACAGAAAAGUGACAAGCUUACCAUCUUUUCCACUAUAAGCAACAUUCAAGAUUAAUUCAGAAGCCUAGUUACUUGACAACAGUAUUGCACAAAUACAAAAAAUGGAAAGUACCUCAAGCAGGGUAACCUAAAAAUUCUAAAUUAUGAAACUUAAUCCAAAUAAUAACUAUUAUUCCUGCAUUUUUCUACUUAAAAAAUGCAUCAUCAAACAACACUGCACCUUGAAUCGCCACUUAUAGUUAGGACAAGUCAUUGAACAGAGCUAAUGGAAUUGUAGUGGGUUCCAUCAGACAACUUUACCUUUACCGUCUACAUUUAUCUUGUGCUUCCAGUUAUAUGGAGACUCUUUUCAUAAGUAACGAAUAGUUCCUAAGUUGUGCCAGUUGUGAUAUGGAGUAAUGAUUCUCUUAAGCAUCUUUCCACGCCGGAAAUUUUUUCGGAAAUAAACUUGAGUUUCCUUAGGAUUCAACUAAC